AGGGUUUGAUCAUGGCUCAGAACGAACGCUGGCGGCAGGCCUAACACAUGCAAGUCGAGCGCGCCCUUCGGGGUGAGCGGCGGACGGGUUAGUAACGCGUGGGAAUAUGCCCUUUGGUACGGAAUAGCCUCUGGAAACGGAGAGUAAUACCGUAUGAGCCCUUCGGGGGAAAGAUUUAUCGCCAAAGGAUUAGCCCGCGUUAGAUUAGGUAGUUGGUGGGGUAAUGGCCUACCAAGCCUACGAUCUAUAGCUGGUUUUAGAGGAUGAUCAGCAACACUGGGACUGAGACACGGCCCAGACUCCUACGGGAGGCAGCAGUGGGGAAUCUUGGACAAUGGGGGCAACCCUGAUCCAGCCAUGCCGCGUGAGUGAUGAAGGCCUUAGGGUCGUAAAGCUCUUUCGCCUGUGAAGAUAAUGACGGUAGCAGGUAAAGAAACCCCGGCUAACUCCGUGCCAGCCGCCGCGGUAAUAC
RNAcentral lists this ribosomal RNA (472 nucleotides) under uncultured bacterium. RNAcentral's name for it is "bacterial SSU rRNA". It matches the Rfam family "Bacterial small subunit ribosomal RNA", at positions 8 to 526 of the family's 1533-position model. The record is from RNAcentral.